Molecule: ribosomal RNA, 932 nt
Filed under: Enterococcus faecalis
Lineage: Bacteria; Bacillati; Bacillota; Bacilli; Lactobacillales; Enterococcaceae
Description: bacterial SSU rRNA
Rfam family: Bacterial small subunit ribosomal RNA
Source: RNAcentral
ACGCUUCUUUUUCCACCGGAGCUUGCUCCACCGGAAAAAGAAGAGUGGCGAACGGGUGAGUAACACGUGGGUAACCUGCCCAUCAGAAGGGGAUAACACUUGGAAACAGGUGCUAAUACCGUAUAACAAUCAAAACCGCAUGGUUUUGAUUUGAAAGGCGCUUUCGGGUGUCGCUGAUGGAUGGACCCGCGGUGCAUUAGCUAGUUGGUGAGGUAACGGCUCACCAAGGCCACGAUGCAUAGCCGACCUGAGAGGGUGAUCGGCCACAUUGGGACUGAGACACGGCCCAAACUCCUACGGGAGGCAGCAGUAGGGAAUCUUCGGCAAUGGACGAAAGUCUGACCGAGCAACGCCGCGUGAGUGAAGAAGGUUUUCGGAUCGUAAAACUCUGUUGUUAGAGAAGAACAAGGAUGAGAGUAACUGUUCAUCCCUUGACGGUAUCUAACCAGAAAGCCACGGCUAACUACGUGCCAGCAGCCGCGGUAAUACGUAGGUGGCAAGCGUUGUCCGGAUUUAUUGGGCGUAAAGCGAGCGCAGGCGGUUUCUUAAGUCUGAUGUGAAAGCCCCCGGCUCAACCGGGGAGGGUCAUUGGAAACUGGGAGACUUGAGUGCAGAAGAGGAGAGUGGAAUUCCAUGUGUAGCGGUGAAAUGCGUAGAUAUAUGGAGGAACACCAGUGGCGAAGGCGGCUCUCUGGUCUGUAACUGACGCUGAGGCUCGAAAGCGUGGGGAGCAAACAGGAUUAGAUACCCUGGUAGUCCACGCCGUAAACGAUGAGUGCUAAGUGUUGGAGGGUUUCCGCCCUUCAGUGCUGCAGCUAACGCAUUAAGCACUCCGCCUGGGGAGUACGACCGCAAGGUUGAAACUCAAAGGAAUUGACGGGGGCCCGCACAAGCGGUGGAGCAUGUGGUUUAAUUCGAAGCAACGCGAAGAA